GAUGAACGCUGGCGGCGUGCCUAAUACAUGCAAGUCGAGCGAACAGACGAGGAGCUUGCUCCUCUGCCGUUAGCGGCGGACGGGUGAGUAACACGUGGAUAACCUACCUAUAAGACUGGGAUAACUUCGGGAAACCGGAGCUAAUACCGGAUCAUAUAUUGAACCGCAUGGAUCAAUAGUGAAAGACGGUUUUGCUGUCACUUAUAGAUGGAUCCGCGUCGCAUUAGCUAGUUGGUAAGGUAACGGCUUACCAAGGCAACGAUGCGUAGCCGACCUGAGAGGGUGAUCGGCCACACUGGAACUGAGACACGGUCCAGACUCCUACGGGAGGCAGCAGUAGGGAAUAUUCCGCAAUGGGCGAAAGCUUGACGGAGCAACGCCGCGUGAGUGAUGAAGGUCUUCGGAUCGUAAAGCUCUGUUAUUAGGGAAGAACAAAUGUGUAAGUAACUAUGCACGUCUUGACGGUACCUAAUCAGAAAGCCCCGGCUAACUUCGUG
RNAcentral lists this ribosomal RNA (497 nucleotides) under uncultured bacterium. RNAcentral describes it as "partial 16S ribosomal RNA". It matches the Rfam family "Bacterial small subunit ribosomal RNA", at positions 28 to 507 of the family's 1533-position model. The record is from RNAcentral.